UGCCACGUGCAGGAUGAAUGCCCUAUGGGUUGUAAACUGCUUUUAUACAAGAAGAAACCUCGGUACGUGUACCGACUUGACGGUAUUGUAUGAAUAAGCACCGGCUAACUCCGUGCCAGCAGCCGCGGUAAU
RNAcentral lists this ribosomal RNA (132 nucleotides) under uncultured bacterium. RNAcentral's name for it is "partial 16S ribosomal RNA". It matches the Rfam family "Bacterial small subunit ribosomal RNA", at positions 395 to 524 of the family's 1533-position model. The record is from RNAcentral.